UUUGAUGGCGACCGGCGCACGGGUGAGUAACACGUAUCCAACCUGCCGAUAACUCUGGAAUAGCCUUUCGAAAGAAAGAUUAAUACCGGAUAGUAUACGAAUAUCGCAUGAUAUUUUUAUUUAAAGAAUUUCGGUUAUCGAUGGGGAUGCGUUCCAUUAGUUUGUUGGCGGGGUAACGGCCCACCAAGACUACGAUGGAUAGGGGUUCUGAGAGGAAGGUCCCCAACAUUGGGACUGAGACACGGCCCAGACUCCUACGGGAGGCAGCAUG
This 271-nucleotide ribosomal RNA is filed under the name uncultured bacterium. RNAcentral describes it as "partial 16S ribosomal RNA". It matches the Rfam family "Bacterial small subunit ribosomal RNA", at positions 84 to 353 of the family's 1533-position model. The record is from RNAcentral.